Molecule: ribosomal RNA, 429 nt
Filed under: Chloroflexota bacterium
Lineage: Bacteria; Bacillati; Chloroflexota
Description: Chloroflexi bacterium partial 16S ribosomal RNA
Rfam family: Bacterial small subunit ribosomal RNA
Source: RNAcentral
UGGGGAAUAUUGCACAAUGGGCGCAAGCCUGAUGCAGCCAUGCCGCGUGUAUGAAGAAGGCCUUCGGGUUGUAAAGUACUUUCAGUCGGGAGGAAGGUGGUAAGGUUAAUAACCUUAUCAAUUGACGUUACCGACAGAAGAAGCACCGGCUAACUCCGUGCCAGCAGCCGCGGUAAUACGGAGGGUGCAAGCGUUAAUCGGAAUUACUGGGCGUAAAGCGCACGCAGGCGGUUGAUUGAGUCAGAUGUGAAAUCCCCGGGCUUAACCCGGGAAUUGCAUCUGAUACUGGUCAGCUAGAGUCUUGUAGAGGGGGGUAGAAUCCCAUGUGUAGCGGUGAAAUGCGUAGAGAUGUGGAGGAAUACCGGUGGCGAAGGCGGCCCCCUGGACAAAGACUGACGCUCAGGUGCGAAAGCGUGGGGAGCAAACAGG